Molecule: ribosomal RNA, 528 nt
Filed under: uncultured bacterium
Lineage: Bacteria
Description: bacterial SSU rRNA
Rfam family: Bacterial small subunit ribosomal RNA
Source: RNAcentral
UCUUGGUUCAGGACGAACGCUGGCGGCGUGCCUAAUACAUGCAAGUCGAACGGUCUUUCUAUGGAAGCUUGCUUCCACUGAGAAGAUAGUGGCGAACGGGUGAGUAACACGUGGGUAACCUGCCCAUAAGAGGGGGAUAACAUCCGGAAACGGGUGCUAAUACCGCAUAGUUUUCUUGAUCGCAUGAUUGAGAAAGGAAAGACGGCCUUUGUGCUGUCGCUUAUGGAUGGACCCGCGGCGUAUUAGUUAGUUGGUGAGGUAACGGCUCACCAAGACGAUGAUACGUAGCCGACCUGAGAGGGUGAUCGGCCACAUUGGGACUGAGACACGGCCCAAACUCCUACGGGAGGCAGCAGUAGGGAAUCUUCCGCAAUGGACGAAAGUCUGACGGAGCAACGCCGCGUGAGUGAAGAAAGGUUUUCGGAUCAUAAAACUCUGUUGUCAGAGAAGAACAAGUUGGAGAGUAACUGCUCCAGCCUUGACGGUAUCUGACCAGAAAGCCACGGCUAACUACGUGCCAGCCGCGGC